This is a non-coding RNA of Triticum aestivum (bread wheat), 115 nucleotides long. NCBI's taxonomy places the organism in Eukaryota, Viridiplantae, Streptophyta, Magnoliopsida, Poales, Poaceae. The record is from Rfam.
UACAUACUCCCUCCGUUCAGAAUUACUCGUCCAAGGAAUGAAUGUAUCUAGAUGUAUUUCAGUUGUAGAUACAUCUAUUUUUGUGACAAGUAAUUCCGAACGGAGGGAGUACUAC